This is a long non-coding RNA of Mugil cephalus (flathead mullet), 1316 nucleotides long. RefSeq lists it as uncharacterized. NCBI's taxonomy places the organism in Eukaryota, Metazoa, Chordata, Actinopteri, Mugiliformes, Mugilidae. The transcript is spliced from 2 exons. The record is from RefSeq and is a predicted model, not a curated record.
GACUCCUGCGUUUUCAGUUACUUUUACGAGAGGGCAACGUGGAAAAGGACGUAAUUUCGUUAGCUCCGAAAAAAAUUUAAACAACCGUUUAUACAGUUUUACAAUUAUUAUUAAUACUUUUUAAAAGCAUUUUUGACAGAAGAGGUUACGAUUUUCUUUUUUGAAAACUUCGUAGAAGAAAUCUCCACAUAGAAGAAUCGAAGGCCGUCGUGUCAACUUUUUUUUCUACAUAUGUUUUUUUGGUCGGAGAUGUGUUUGGAAGCGAUGAGAACCAACGCGAAGCGCAUUAAACCCGACUGUCUGCGGAAAACCACGAAACCUGGAUCUAAGCCGCGGUGGAAGCUGGUCCGUGUGUUGGUGGACGACGAGGCCGUGAGGCGGUGUCGAGACCCGUCGGUGAAAACGACCAUCCGAAAAUAUCUACGACGGGAGCAAAAAAGGAGAGCACAGCCGACAAAACUCAUCAGAGUCACGCCAGACAAGGAGGAGGAGGAGGAGAAGAAAGACCAGGAAAUAAUGGAGUCCAGGUACGAGGAAAUCCCCGUUGAGGCCUGUGUGCCGAGUUAUCCAGCCGGGGCAAUGGCGCCGGAAAACACCACGCAGUACCUGAUGAGUAAUGUGUAUGAAGACAUGCAACUAAACGACGUGCACUCACUUUCACACGGCACAUUUGCACAUCUGUAUGGCGACUGUCUCUCGCCGAGAAGUGUGUACUCGGUGUUGGACUCUGACUAUGAGAGCUAUCUUGAUUUUCAGCAGAGAGACUUCGAGGAAGCGUUUGACCCGUAACCGGAGUGAACUGGUCUGAAGGCUCGUCCGACUUCUCCUUCCAGGAGCAAUGACUUAAUAAUAAAGACACAUGAAAAGCGGCGCUUCUUUUGGACGCUACCCCGUCCAGUAGGGGGCGCUCCUGAGACUUCCUCCCGGAGGAACCAACGUAAACGCACCUCCCCAAGCUCUAGGUCUGACCUCACGGAUUGUGAAGUUCAGGUAAAACCCGGGCAGGUAUUCAUGUUGCACUGCAUUGUCAAUGAUGGCAGUAGUGACUGUUGUCUGAGCGUUUUCCAGGUGCGUGUCCCCCACCCUCUUCCAAGGACGCGUGGCUCGGCUGUGAGAGGAGCAGGAGAGCACGGAGGACGGUGACUGGGACAAGGUGACUUUUAUAAAGGUCCUCUGGUUGUGUUUGUUUAAAUCCUGAUAAAUCUGAUAAUCGGGUACAGUUCAAUUGAAUGUCUAAAUUGGUAAAAAAUGUUGCACUAUAUUGCGAUUGAUGCAGACUGUGUGGAAAAUGUACAAUAAAAGAAAUCAUUUGGAAA